GGGGAACCUGGGGCUGGAUCACCUCCUUUAAAGAAAGCUGAUUAAGCGCUUUCGGAGUACCCACACAAAUUACCUAAUCAGAAAGCACGGACAUGGGUCUGUAGCUCAGUUGGUUAGAGCGCACCCCUGAUAAGGGUGAGGUCGGUGGUUCAAAUCCACCCAGACCCACCAUUUCGGGGCCAUAGCUCAGCUGGGAGAGCGCCUGCCUUGCACGCAGGAGGUCGGGAGUUCGAUCCUCCCUGGCUCCACCAAUUUCCUGUCCUUGAGUGCCAAGUGUUGAACCUGAAGGUUCAACACUUUGUAUUUAACAAAGUGCUGCUCUUUAACAAUAUGGUUUAGAUUGUAGAUAGGUGAAGUCCUAUAGAAGCACGAUUUAUUGUGUGACUUUGGACGAACUUAUAGCAUAUUCAAAUUCUCAAUAAAUGAAUAUGCGGGUAUGUUGCAUUCGAACAAAGCGACCAAUACCAGCGUAACUCCAGAGUUUUUGGGGUUAUAUGGUCAAGUGAAUAAGCGCAUAU
RNAcentral lists this unclassified non-coding RNA (518 nucleotides) under uncultured bacterium. RNAcentral describes it as "partial contains 16S ribosomal RNA, 16S-23S ribosomal RNA intergenic spacer, and 23S ribosomal RNA". The stretch from base 95 to 168 matches the Rfam family "tRNA". The record is from RNAcentral.